CCUACGGGAGGCAGGAGUAGGGAAUAUUGCGCAAUGGGGGAAACCCUGAAGCAGCAACGCCGCGUGGAGGAUGAAGGUUUUCGGAUUGUAAACUCCUUUUGUUAGAGAAGAUAAUGACGGUAUCUAACGAAUAAGCACCGGCGAACUCCGUGCCAGCAGCCGCGGUAAUACGGAGGGUGCAAGCGUUACUCGGAAUUACUGGGCGUAAAGAGGGCGUAGGCGGGAUGGCAAGUCAGAUGUGAAAUCCUAUGGCUUAACCAUAGAACUGCAUUUGAAACUGUUAUUCUAGAGUAUGGGAGAGGUAGGUGGAAUUCUUGGUGUAGGGGUAAAAUCCGUAGAGAUCAGGAGGAACACUGAUUGCGAAGGCGACCUGCUAGAACAUAACUGACGCUGAUGCGUGAAAGCGUGGGGAGCAAACAGGAUUAGAUACCCGGGUAGUC
RNAcentral lists this ribosomal RNA (440 nucleotides) under uncultured bacterium. RNAcentral's name for it is "partial 16S ribosomal RNA". It matches the Rfam family "Bacterial small subunit ribosomal RNA", at positions 338 to 795 of the family's 1533-position model. The record is from RNAcentral.